UUCCUGGUGGUCUAGUAGUUAGGAUUUGGUGCUCUCAUCACCGUGGCUUGGGUUCCAUUCCUGGUUAGGGAA
Molecule: non-coding RNA, 72 nt
Organism: Ataeniobius toweri
Lineage: Eukaryota; Metazoa; Chordata; Actinopteri; Cyprinodontiformes; Goodeidae
Source: the annotation of a GenBank genome assembly